AUUGAACGCUGGCGGCAGGCCUAACACAUGCAAGUCGAACGAGUGGCGCACGGGUGAGUAAUGUCUGGGAAACUGCCUGAUGGCGGGGGAUAACUACUGGAAACAGUAGCUAAUACCGCAUACACUCGGAUGUGCCCAGAUGGGAUUAGCUAGUAGGUGGGGUAACGGCUCACCUAGGCGACGAUCCCUAGCUGGUCUGAGAGGAUGACCAGCCACACUGGAACUGAGACACGGUCCAGACUCCUACGGGAGGCAGCAGUGGGGAAUAUUGCACAAUGGGGGCAAGCCUGAUGCAGCCAUGCCGCGUGUGUGAAGAAGGCCUUCGGGUUGUAAAGCACUUUCAGCGGGGAGGCGUUACCCGCAGAAGAAGCACCGGCUAACUCCGUGCCAGCAGCCGCGGUAAUAC
RNAcentral lists this ribosomal RNA (406 nucleotides) under uncultured bacterium. RNAcentral describes it as "partial 16S ribosomal RNA". It matches the Rfam family "Bacterial small subunit ribosomal RNA", at positions 30 to 526 of the family's 1533-position model. The record is from RNAcentral.